ACGGAGGGUGCGAGCGUUGUCCGGAAUCAUUGGGCGUAAAGGGCGCGUAGGUGGCUUCUCAAGCGUGCGGUGAAAGCCUGGGGCUCAACCCCGGGUCGGCCGUGCCGACUGUUAGGCUAGAGUGCUGUAGGGGCAGGCGGAAUUCCGGGUGUAGCGGUGGAAUGCGUAGAGAUCCGGAGGAAGACCGGUGGCGAAGGCGGCCUGCUGGGCAGAUACUGACACUGAGGCGCGACAGCGUGGGGAGCAAACAGGA
RNAcentral lists this ribosomal RNA (253 nucleotides) under uncultured prokaryote. RNAcentral's name for it is "partial 16S ribosomal RNA". It matches the Rfam family "Bacterial small subunit ribosomal RNA", at positions 525 to 777 of the family's 1533-position model. The record is from RNAcentral.